This 254-nucleotide ribosomal RNA is filed under the name uncultured bacterium. RNAcentral's name for it is "partial 16S ribosomal RNA". It matches the Rfam family "Bacterial small subunit ribosomal RNA", at positions 524 to 776 of the family's 1533-position model. The record is from RNAcentral.
UACGGAGGGUGCGAGCGUUGUCCGGAAUCACUGGGCGUAAAGGGCGCGUAGGUGGCCCGGUCAGUCUUUGGUGAAAGCGCGGGGCUCAACCCUGCGUCGGCCAGGGAUACUGCCGCGGCUCGAGCACUGUAGAGGCAGGCGGAAUUCCGGGUGUAGCGGUGGAAUGCGUAGAGAUCCGGAAGAACAUCGGUGGCGAAGGCGCUCUGCUGGACCAUAACUGACACUCAGGGACGAAAGCUAGGGGAGCGAAUGGG